CCCUAUUUACUCCUUAUUCAGUACUACUUAACCUAUGUACUUGCAUACCAUUACAGACCUCCUUUUAAAAUGAAAUAUAUUCUUUACUAUAAGCAUCAGUUUAUAUAGAGAAGAAUAAGCAAAUCUCUCUUGUUAGCAAAAUUCAGAAAUCUACUUCUAAAGACAAGAAGAAUCUAGAAACCAACAUAUGCCAAGAAGUAACUCUGAAUGAGAAUAGAAAAGUUGACCAGAGAAGAAGAAGCAAGAGAAUUGAAAACAAACAUAGACAAGAAGCCCUUCCUAGGAAUUCUGUUAAUCCUGUUUGCCCUAUUUCACUUUCAACAGUUAAUAGGAGGGAUACUUACGGUAGAGAUGAUUCAAAGAAUAUGUCAAAUACUCAAAGUGUAGAGGAUACAAACCCACACCAGAUGAAGGAGUAUUUGCCGAAGUAAGUGGAACAGAAAGCACUGAAAAAAAUGGGGAAGAGGAAAAUGCGAAGACCAAUGUCCUUUCACAGUUUACUGAAACAGAAGAAGUCCAGGCUAAAAGAGUAAGAUUACACUCUCCAGAGACAAGCCAAAAGGCAGCCUCUUAUUCCAGUAGCAUCAAAACCAGGCUUUCAUCCACAUCACAAUCCAGUCAGGCAUCAGAACAGCAAACACCCAAGAAAUCAGGUGAGAAUUUAAUAAUAUUUUAUAAAAACAGUGGAGUAUUUUCCAGACAUACUCGAAGAAGGCUUUUUGUAAUACAUGAGGGAAAGUUUAGAAAAAUACAUGUAGCAUGUAAAGCAUAUACUGUAGUGAGUUCCAAAUACUUGAAAUAUUUCCAGAACUUCAGUACUGUAUUUUACAGCACAUACUUUGUUUUGUUUAUCGUACAUUCAUCAGUCUUUCAGCAUUGUGGUUAAGGGGAUGCAGGAUCAUAACUGAGAGCUUAAAAUAAUAUUACAUUGAUCUUUAGUUAACUGUGUUACGUCAGUGAUAGUUUAAAAUGACACUGAAUUUAUCCUCAGUUAACUCUUUUACGUACCACAGAUCAAAGAAGAAAACCUGGCUCUCUGUAUAUUUGCUACACAGAUAUCCACUUUUAUUUUAUAGACUAUAUCCUCAUCAGGCACAAAUCAGCAUGGGUCCUGAUUCUGCUGGUACAUUUGCUUUUAGCUGUAAUAUAGAAACAAACCUACUUCUAUGAGAGUAAGGUUCUAGUCUCCUCUGUUAGUUAUAUUAUCUUUUGCCUGUAUGUACUGCUUUCUGUUUAGCAUUUUCAUCCCAUGUCUAUGACUUGCAUUUAUCUUGUAGCCUUGCCAUCACAGUAGAGACUGUCCAGCUGAUAACUCAUUGUAAGCCCCAAGUAUUUUUCAUUUGCUGCUUUUUUGUAAAGCUGGCAGUCAUCUUUUGUACACUGGCUCUUUCUGGAACCAGAGAACCGUAGCACUCAAGACUAACUGAAACCAAAACCUGUUGUUCAGAUGGGAUCCCUGCUCUCUUAAAACUUUUAAAUAUAAUACAUCUGGACAGAUGAUUCAAAAAUGUUUAUCCUCAUAUCAUUUGGCAUCCUUCUUAACUUGUGUUGAAAUGAAAAAAAAAGUCUCAUUAGAUGAUAGGAAUUUCUUGUUUAGCUUUGCCUCGAUAUAGCAUAGAGUAUUUUGACUUCUCUGAUUAUCUUAGAUAAUUUUGUCGUUUCUCUGUAGUAAUCAAGAGUUUGGGAAAUAUUUUUUCUGGUUUUGAUACUAAAAUACUACCUUUUUGGGCCUUAGCUGUCUGUGACUAUUACCUUGUAUUCUUUACUUUUCCACACCAGUUUUCUACAACUCCUUACUUAUAUUUGCUACUGCUUCCCAUUUUUUCAUUUCUCAUUUAUUGUUGCCCUCUAAUUCCCUUCUUAAGCCACUUUAGAUUUUGAAUCCG
RNAcentral lists this long non-coding RNA (1886 nucleotides) under Calidris pugnax (ruff). Its description in RNAcentral is "lncRNA (ENSCPUG00000013513.1)". Lineage: Eukaryota; Metazoa; Chordata; Aves; Charadriiformes; Scolopacidae. The record is from RNAcentral.